AGCUUAGAUACUUUUGGCCAUCCAUGAACCAAUUCUCUUGGCUUCUACCUUCUAACCCAAAUAUAUCUGGGAAGCCCAACUGAAACCCCAGAAGUAGUCAUGACAUCAGGCCCACUGUACAAGUACUGAAAUGGCUGAUGACAGAGGAUGUUCGACCCAGAUGAGUCAUCUUGUUCACUUAGUUUUGAAGUACCUCUUUUGAAUGAGGCUUUAACAUGACACAAAAACAAAUCUGCAUUUGUGUCCACUCCUAUACCUCCAUCAGCACGCCACUUCUCCUGAACUCUUACUUAGCCUCUGGACCUUUCUCUCUUCCUCCUUUCAGACCUCUCACCAACAAACCAAAUCAUUGCCACUUCUCAAGUUUGCAAGCAUACCUUUACCUCUGAUGACUUCUUCCAUGAAACUAAGAAUGAGUCGGCAAUGUAUAAUGGAACAAAUUGACUCUUGGCUGACUGGCUAAGUCGUUUAGCCUCUCUGAGCCACAUUUCCCUUAACUAUAAAAUGAGGUUUAAAAAAAGAAGUCCACUCUGAAGGCUUGUGAUGUGGAUAAAUGCUUUUAACUUCUUACUUGAGCCCAUUGAAGGUAUGAGAGAGCCCUGUGAGUGCUGAAGGCAUUUUUCUACCUAAUGAUGACUCUAGUACUGGAGGAAGCAAAAUUGGAAAAAUCUUAGAAAAACGGACAUCUAACCUUGACCAAACAUGCCUGAAGGCUUUCUUCCCUACCUGAAUUAUGAUAUAUUUUUCUAUACACAAAAUAAUGUAAUUUUCAAAGUUAAUCCUUUGAAAGCUCAGAUUUUUUACAACAGCUUUAACAAGGCAAUAGCUUUACUGUGUGCUGUGAGCUGAUAGAUUGGGAACUUUCAACCACUUACACUAUGGCUAAGAAUUCAAAUCUCUGGAGAAAGAUUAGGAAUGUGCAUUUACACAAGCGUUGUUAUCUCAUUCUGACGUAGAUGGUCAUCUACCAGACAAUUUGAGUUUAAGUUUUACCUGGGAGCUUUGAAAAAAUACAGAUGCCUAGCCCCCACAGACCUCACAUCCAAAGAUUUGGUUCCACUAGAAUGGGGUACAGGUAACAGUGUUUAGAGCUCCAUAGCUUGUUAAUGUGCAGCCAUGGUGUCAAGGCAAGACUUCUCAAACUUUAACGUGCAGACAAAUCAUUCAUCGAUAUAGUAAAAAUGCAAGUUGUGAUUUAGUAGGUCUGAGAUAAGGCCUGAGAUCUUGCAUUUCUAAUGAGUGUCCCAACUCUAAAAAACAAAAAUCAGUUAAUCAGGCUAGGCAUUGACAGGCAUGUACAUUACAAGUGAAGUAGAUAAGGAAAGGUUGGUACUAGAAAUUAUCCACUGUACUGGGGCAAGUGUAAAGAGCACAGAUCCAGUUAGAAGUUAAUAGCUUUUUUUGCAUCACUAAUUUUUUAGAGGCUAGGAAAGUCCAUUUUAAUAUUACGCAUUUAAGAGAGAAACUAGGUAUUAAAGAAAUUAACAUUUAGCAGUUGGAAAAUAUUGACUUGGUAGCAGGGAGUCUGUUAUCCUUGCUGUUACCCUGAACAUUUCAAUUUCAGAAAGUUGCAUGACUUUUGAAUCUCCUCCAUGUAAGACAUCCUGCUUGACAUAAGGAUUUAUUUCUGACUUUCCAUCAGUUUCUAAUUAAUAGCACCACUGUGUGCUACAUGAUGUGAGAAUUAAAAAUCUCUAAACAGUACCACAGGAGCACCACAUUGCACUUCUACUUGAAAAAACACCUGAUCAGUUAUCCAGCUGUUUCCUCCAGAUGUUUUCUGUAAACUCAAAGGUCAUUGUUUCACUAAAAUUGAGAUUAAUUUGGCUUAAACAUAUCUUGCUCACUAUAAUAAAGUAGAGCUAUUAAAAUCAAGUUUUUAAAUAGCCACAGGUAUAUACAAUCAAAUGUUGUAGAACUUACCAAAUAUAUGUUUCUAAAAGCACUUUCUCUCCACUUUUAUAAAUCUAAAUGCAAAAUCAUAUAGUUUGUAUGUUUUGUAAUAAAAUGUGUAGUGACACAUUCUUUCCUCUGAGUAAAUAUCUCAUGACGAAAAGGAACAUAUCAUUAUUAGUACAGAGUAAUAACAGAAUUCACUAUAAGAUGAAAAGCUCAGCAAAUGGUGACUGCUCUUGAAAUGACAAAUAACACAUAAUAUCUUCCCCUAAGCUAAUCUGGAAGCAAAAUAAUAAGACAUGACCUAAAGGAUACAGUAUAUGUGUCUGUAUGCUUUACUUUAUAGCAUCUUUGUAAAAUAAUGUGAUUUUACCAGAUUGCAUGAGAUUGUGUUAUAACCAGAUACUAUUAGAGUCAUAGGCAUUAAAAGUUGUCCUUCAUAAGGGGUAUUAUGGCAUUUAAUUACAAGUAUUCUUUUUCAUAAUGAAAUCAGAAUGCAAACACCAGCCCUACAAUAACUCUGCACUUGAAUAGCAAACCAAAUAUUCCUCAAAGGUCAUAAUUUUAUAAGUUUGAGAUUAAAAAUAACAUCUAAUCUUUACUACUGCUGUCUUUCCAUCCCUAGGAAUAUUACUUAUUUUCAUUAAUUACUUAUUUAGUCUAUUUGAUCACAAAGUUAAAUCAAAAUCUCAGAGAAGACUACAGCAAUAACAUUUAUCAAGCUCCAUUGUGUAUCUGUCAUUGGGUGUAUACUAUUCUGUGAACUAUGGCCUUCCACGGACUAUUAAUAAAGAGACAUAGUUACAUAUCAAUAUUUAUUUCUAUGACGUAUGUCCCCUAUGAAAAAAAUAUACCUUGGUCUAUGAUUAAAUGUCCUUUGUUUACAAAAACCAUUAUUGUGUACUAAAUUAUUCGUCCUUUUUCCUUUCAAACAAUAAAAAAGCUAUUGAAAUAUG
Molecule: long non-coding RNA, 2852 nt
Organism: Homo sapiens (human)
Lineage: Eukaryota; Metazoa; Chordata; Mammalia; Primates; Hominidae
Product: long intergenic non-protein coding RNA 1790
Source: Ensembl